This 374-nucleotide long non-coding RNA is filed under the name Bos taurus (domestic cattle). Its description in RNAcentral is "long non-coding RNA NONBTAT016430". Lineage: Eukaryota; Metazoa; Chordata; Mammalia; Artiodactyla; Bovidae. The record is from RNAcentral.
CUAGCGAAUCUUAGAAACUCUACCUUUUCAGACCAAAUAUAAUCUGGCAUAGGUUUAGGAAUAUAAACAUAAAGUCCUUAAGGGAAAAAAAUGAGUGUGAAAAGGGUUCAUGCUCCAAAUGGAAUCAUGUUUCUGACAUGUCUGUUUUGAGCAUCGGAAGUUUGAUUCUAAUUAUGAUAGGUUUCACAUUUCAGAAACUUAUCUGUAAGAAUAUAAAUCUUUAAUUCUGAUCUUUCAAGAGGCCACACCAGGUUGGUUGAGAGUGAUUAGGUCAUAGUAUUGUCUGACAUAUUCAGGUUAACACAUAGGCGACUUGCAAAGAUAUACAUAAGAAAUUAACAAAACAACUUCAGAUACUUUCUCACUAAGGAAUC